AAAAAUACAUUCUCUCACUCACACACACUCACACAAACACACUAGAUAUAUCAGGCACUUGGUGGCUACAGUUGAAACUCAGGACCUGACAUUCACAAUAUAAAAAAAGCUGUUUGGCAAAGGACACAUUUGGUCAAACAUGAAGUUAUAUACCAUUCAGUGGCUGGUUGGUCGUGUGCAAUUUCAACAAUGAGCAGUUUAAUUAUAUGUCUACAUACAAAAUAUAAUAUGAAGUCAGCAUAACACAGCUUGAAGUCUUUUACCAAGAGCGCAAGCUGCUGCAAAAUACCAAAUAAGAGAAAUGCUAGUUCAGUCACACCAGUAUAGACAUGCAGUAUGCAACUGCACAUGCACCUGCAAGGCUAUACAUCUAAUCUGCCUGCUGGCUCCCUCUGGUAGAUACUACCAGAAAAGAUUUCCUUUUUUACGGUUUUGUCACACUGCAUGUCAUGUAUUAUCAUAAAUAACAUCACAGUUGUGUUCCCAUAUGCCAAUUCUCAGCCUUCUCACUAGAACUGUCAUCAUACAUCAUACAACAUAUAAUCUAUGUUGUAAAUACUUUUGUAUGUUAUGUGAUAUUAUGUGCAGCAUUAUAUCUAUAAUACUAUAUAUCUCUUAAUCAAGGCUGGAUUAGGUCUUUUGCUUUUUCCCAUAGGAAGGAGAAGCUACUCCUAUGUUCUUUGGUGGUCGUCCUCUCUUUUUCCCAUAGGAAGGAGAAGCUACUCCUAUGUUCUUUGGUGGUCGUCCUCUCUUUUUCUUUUGAGCUUGUGGAGGAACAGCGCCCCCUGGAGGGGAGACAGGAGGGGAGGGGUGCUGUGGUAGGCCUGCUGAUGGAGGAGUGGCGGUCGGUGUGACGGUGGUGGUCGGUGUGACGGUGGUGGUCGAACUAGGGAAGGUGCUGGCUACGACAGACAACGCGCUGGCUAGCGUUUGCACAGGAUCCACAAGAGCAGCUUCCGCGGAGCCGCGAUGCUCGAGCGAAGCCCCCGGUGGAGCGCAGCACUGUCCCAGCGGUCCGGCGGACUUCAUGCCC
This is a long non-coding RNA of Clupea harengus (Atlantic herring), 1033 nucleotides long. The record is from Ensembl. NCBI's taxonomy places the organism in Eukaryota, Metazoa, Chordata, Actinopteri, Clupeiformes, Clupeidae.